UACGUAGGGUGCGAGCGUUAAUCGGAAUUACUGGGCGUAAAGCGUGCGCAGGCGGUUCGUUGUGUCGGUGGGGAAAGCCCCGGGCUUAACCUGGGAAUGGCCAUGGAAACUGGCGAACUGGAGUGUGGCAGAGGGGGGUGGAAUUCCGCGUGUAGCAGUGAAAUGCGUAGAGAUGCGGAGGAACACCGAUGGCGAAGGCAGCCCCCUGGGCUAACACUGACGCUCAGGCACGAAAGCGUGGGGAGCAAACAGG
This 253-nucleotide ribosomal RNA is filed under the name uncultured bacterium. Its description in RNAcentral is "partial 16S ribosomal RNA". It matches the Rfam family "Bacterial small subunit ribosomal RNA", at positions 524 to 776 of the family's 1533-position model. The record is from RNAcentral.